This 88-nucleotide transfer RNA is filed under the name Parabacteroides sp. CAG:409. It matches the Rfam family "tRNA". Rfam says of the family: Transfer RNA (tRNA) molecules are approximately 80 nucleotides in length. Their secondary structure includes four short double-helical elements and three loops (D, anti-codon, and T loops). Further hydrogen bonds mediate the characteristic L-shaped molecular structure. tRNAs have two regions of fundamental functional importance: the anti-codon, which is responsible for specific mRNA codon recognition, and the 3' end, to which the tRNAs corresponding amino acid is attached (by aminoacyl-tRNA synthetases). tRNAs cope with the degeneracy of the genetic code in two manners: having more than one tRNA (with a specific anti-codon) for a particular amino acid; and 'wobble' base-pairing, i.e. permitting non-standard base-pairing at the 3rd anti-codon position. Lineage: Bacteria; Pseudomonadati; Bacteroidota; Bacteroidia; Bacteroidales; Tannerellaceae. The record is from Rfam by way of RNAcentral. RNAcentral also lists the same sequence under 4 other names.
GGAAAGAUGCCGGAGUGGUCGAACGGGGCGGACUCGAAAUCCGCUAUACGGCUCUGCUGUAUCCAGGGUUCGAAUCCCUGUCUUUCCG